This 221-nucleotide ribosomal RNA is filed under the name uncultured bacterium. RNAcentral's name for it is "partial 16S ribosomal RNA". It matches the Rfam family "Bacterial small subunit ribosomal RNA", at positions 1277 to 1500 of the family's 1533-position model. The record is from RNAcentral.
UAAACGUCCCAGUUCGGAUUGCAGUCUGCAACUCGACUGCAUGAAGCUGGAAUCGCUAGUAAUCGCGGAUCAGAAUGCCGCGGUGAAUACGUUCCCGGGUCUUGUACACACCGCCCGUCACACCAUGGGAGUCAGCAACGCCCGAAGCCAGUGACCCAACUGAGAAGAGGGAGCUGUCGAAGGCGGGGCCGAUAACUGGGGUGAAGUCGUAACAAGGUACC